This 460-nucleotide ribosomal RNA is filed under the name uncultured bacterium. Its description in RNAcentral is "partial 16S ribosomal RNA". It matches the Rfam family "Bacterial small subunit ribosomal RNA", at positions 338 to 795 of the family's 1533-position model. The record is from RNAcentral.
CCUACGGGGGGCAGCAGUGAGGAAUAUUGGUCAAUGGACGAGAGUCUGAACCAGCCAAGUAGCGUGAAGGAUGACUGCCCUAUGGGUUGUAAACUUCUUUUAUAUGGGAAUAAAAUGUUCCACGUGUGGGAUUUUGUAUGUACCAUAUGAAUAAGGAUCGGCUAACUCCGUACCAGCAGCCGCGGUAAUACGGAGGAUACGAGCGUUAUCCGGAUUUAUUGGGUUUAAAGGGAGCGUAGGUGGAUUGUUAAGUCAGUUGUGAAAGUUUGCGGCUCAACCGUAAAAUUGCAGUUGAAACUGGCAGUCUUGAGUACAGUAGAGGUGGGCGGAAUUCGUGGUGUAGCGGUGAAAUGCUUAGAUAUCACGAAGAACUCCGAUUGCGAAGGCAGUUCACUGGACUGCAACUGACACUGAGGCUCGAAAGUGUGGGUAUCAAACAGGAUUAGAUACCCGGGUAGUC